Long non-coding RNA from Salvelinus fontinalis (brook trout), 3693 nucleotides. RefSeq lists it as uncharacterized. NCBI's taxonomy places the organism in Eukaryota, Metazoa, Chordata, Actinopteri, Salmoniformes, Salmonidae. The transcript has 3 exons. The record is from RefSeq and is a predicted model, not a curated record.
CGUGGCUGGUAGCCUUAUGUCUGCCUCACUGCAAACAGAUUGGAAUACACAACAGAAUGCAAUGCAACACAACAAGCCCCUGGGCUUUUUAAAAAGUGUAUCUUUAUUAAAAAUGUUUCUGAUCCGCAAUGUAAUUGUUCUGAACCACAAGCCGACUCACGGGUUGAAAUAAUGUUUUCAUUCCACCCGCCAGCUGAUUAUUUUGUGGCGCAAGACUACAUACCAGUAAGCAAGAGAAUGGCUCAUCUUUACUGUGUCUUAGUCUGUAAAAGCAAUCUACAGUUUAUCUUCCCCCCAAAAUAAGUUUUGUGGGUUACAUACGUUUCCCAAACUCAGGAUGCACCCAAGUUGAUCACAAGGAGUGCCAUUUUCAGAGCACAUUUAGCAGGAGGGUGCUUUGAGAACCUGAUACAAAAAACUAUUGCGUAUGUCAAGCUUCUCAUACUGAAGCCCGAUGCAUUCCCAACACGCUAGAUAGACUGCUGGAUUUCAUCUUCAAUGCGGUCAUCCACGAUCUGUAUGUGGAGGAGGUGUGUGUGUGAGUUCGCCAUUCCAGAACCCCUGUGUGCCCAGUACGAGAGACCUGACAAGGAGGAAGCCAUCGCUGGAUUUGUGUCCUCCUUCAGCAAUCUAGGGUGAAAGUGAAGACUCUGGGCUCUAUAGGUUCUUGCACCAUAGUCACUGGAAGAGAUGACGUAUAGCGUGUUUGUGUUGGUGGCUACCUCUCCCCAGCCUCUGGUAUACACUCUGGUCAACAUACCGUGCAGCCUUCUCCUGCUAUAUAAGCUGCCAGUAUGUCAGUGGUCAGUUCUGGUCUACUAAAGGUGGUGGCUCUCCCAUAGACAUCAAUGCGAUAGCAGUUGGGUCUGGUCUACUUAGCUCAUUUGACCUCCAUUGAAACAGAAAACAUUUGUAUGUGUCACUUCCUUUUCCAUCUCUGCUAGUAACACCAGAAGAGAACAACUGAGCCAAUGCUAAAGUAUCAGCAACAGCCAAGGGGGCACGGGGAGAUACGUUUCCCCCCAAAACAUUCAUACACCUAGCCUGGGUACCAGUCUGUUUAGCUAACAUUCCACUACUUGUACUCUGUGUCAUGUUUCAGUUAUGUUUUGCAAUGACACAGAGUACAAGGAGUGGAAUAUUGGCUAAACAGACACCAUAUACAAAUCAACUGUAUAUUUGUAUAUAUAUCAUAACCCAGCCAUCACCAUGUCUUGAGACCUCUUAAGACAUGUCUUAGACACCAAUGAGACAUCCGUCUUAAGACAUUUUAUAAUUUAUUGUUUUCAUGUUUUAUUAGUUAUUAAUAUUACUUAUUCACUCUAGAACUCUCAUGCACAUUCAUAGCACAAAUUGUACUGCACACCAAAUCAAAGUAAGCAAGAUUUAUUGACCAAAUAACAAUUUUAGAAUGAUGCAACAAAAUAACUUGUGGUAAAGGCGGUAUAGAGCUCCAAACAACGCCCAUCGUUGAGUCUUUACAGCCAGAUAGUAAUCGCUUGUUUGGGGAUCUCAGAGCUGCUCCUCCUUAACCUUUUCGGAAAUAAAAUGCCAUUAGGUAUCCUAUCAGAAAAUAACAAUAUCACAUUUACCAUGCUAUUUUCUUGUACUUAUAAAUAGCUCACCUGAAGCAGAAAGCCCUAUCGUCCGUGAGGGCUAAAUGUUUGACACCAGGUAAGACCCCAGCUUUAUUGUAUGUCCAGUCUGAAAAUAGAACGAGCCUAUGUGAUUCAAAGACAGCUGAUUAGAGAAAGUGACCUUUCUGUGAUUGCAUGUAGAAUCACAGACAUUACAUUAAACACACUUUACUGCAUAUUUACUUUCAAUUAUUGCAGUAUAAUUAAAUAAAUAAUUCAAAAGCAUGUCUGACAGCCUUAAUGUCACAUUAUUUUGCAUGUCUUUAAAACAUGGCAUUAGUGUCUUGAGACAUGUCUUGAAGACACACAUAAAAUGUCUUGAGACAUAGUGUUGAGUGUCUUGAGACGUCUCAAUUGCAUGUCUCAAGACCCCACCAAUACAGAUUUCUGAAUGUUCUACUGCAUCAUGGAAAACACUAGAUCCAAAAAUAGCUCUGUUUGUUCGGUUAAGGACAACAACAAAAAUAACUUACAUAUUUAUUUACGUACUGUAUGUGCACAAUCAUACCCAGCCAUCACCUUUGUCUUGAGAAAAUAACUUGAGGCAUAUUAUUUCUAAACAAAUAUUAAUCAAGUAGGUGCUGAUGUCGUGGAACUUGUUGCACCUUCUGGUAACCUGUGGGGAAAAGUAUACAUUUAAUAGGCCACUCAGUUUAUAAUGACAUCUAUUUCACAUGAAAUCAAUAAUAGUGUAUAAUGCAUACAAACGCACAUUAGGGACUUCCAUACAGCAAAGGUUUUCUGCAGCAGUGCCGGUGGGCUAGUUUGGCAGUGCCAGCGACCACUGCAGAGUUUUCUGAGCAAAAAAAAAAAACGUUUUAAAUUAUUUUUAUUUUCAUUGUUGGACAUAAAAGACUGUAAAAACACCAGGAAAUCAGCUCCAAGUGAUUUUAAUUUAAGAAAUCUGUUCCCAAGUAUUCCCACGCAUAAUAGAGACACGUGAUCGUAUAUAAAUGUAAGCAAGGUUUGAAAUGAUCUGUUUUGGCUUCUUGUGGUCAAUUUGCAGUCUACUAAUGAUUUGUACUUAUGUUUCAGCCUCUCGACCAUCCGCUCAAGAACAAAUCGGUUACAUGUGGUUUGUGGUUGUGAGGCCGGUUGGACGUACUUCCAAAUUCUCUAAAACGACGUUGGAGGCGGCUUAUGGUAGAGAAAUUAACAUUUAACUCUCUGGCAACAGCUCUGGUGGACAUUCCUGCUGUCAGCAUGCCAAAUGCACGCUCACCCAAAACUUGAGACAUUUGUCGCAUUUUGUUGUGUGACAAAACUGCACAUUUUAGAGUAGCCUUUUAUUGUCCCCAGCACAUGGUGGACCUGUGUAAUGAUCAAGCUGUUUGAUCAGCUGCUUGAUAUGCCACAUCUGGCAGGUGGAUGGAUUAUCUUGGCAAAUGAGAAAUACGCUUUUCGUGCGUAUGUAACAUUUCUGGGAUAUUUUAUUUGAGCUCAUGAAACAUGGGACCAACACUUGACAUGUUUGGUUCAUAUUUUUGUUCAAUAUAGAUAGCUAUACUAUUGACAUUGCAAACAUAAUUUGUAAGCAGUUAGGGAAAUACUAUUGACAUUACUUGAAACAAUGCGACAGCUGUCAAUAGCAAGCCUAUCAAAAUGAAUUAGAAUAGAUGCACCUUAUUCUCGUAAACUUCUUAAAGCACUGGUUUAUACCGCAUUUAUCCCAUGUAGCAACAGCUAUAUCAGAGAGUAUCUUUAGCUAUACAGAGAGAUACAAUAUCCUAUCAGUUACCACGUGAUGAAUACAAAACAAACCACAUACAGUAUCUGUCUGAGUUAUACAAUUAUGAGGAUACAGUAUCUGUUAUAUAACUGAUUUAUCUGUUUGCUCUUGUCAACUAUAAUGGAACUCAGCAAGUUAGUUGUCGUUUUGUUUUCAAAACUUUCUCACUGUCUUUUGGAUUGUAUGUCUGUGUCUGCCUGAGUGCCCGUGUUUCAUAGCGAGUCAUGCUGGGUCUUCCACGGUAUGGGUGCCUUUUGCGUCCCGUGUAUAUUUUUUAAUUUCAAAUUGUGAACCAAUAUUGAAUUUUAAAAGCCUGUUUCACCAUCA